This 808-nucleotide long non-coding RNA is filed under the name Ovis aries (sheep). RNAcentral's name for it is "lncRNA (ENSOARG00000026404.1)". The record is from RNAcentral. Lineage: Eukaryota; Metazoa; Chordata; Mammalia; Artiodactyla; Bovidae.
UUUUUUUGGUUCAAGAUAUUAAGAUGUUAAGAGUGAUUUUUUUUAUUCUAUUCUGGAACUUUUGGACAUUCUAUUAGGAGACUCAUGCUCCUAUUUAAUCUUGUUUUUAGUGGAUAAUCCCUCUAUUUUAUAUAGGUGAAGAUUUUGCAGGCGUGUAUGUUGAGCUUCCUGCUGGACCUGGCAACACCACCCCAGCAAAAAUAGAGCACUGACUCAUGCUGCCCCAUUACAGACAGGUGGCACGGAAGUUUAGCUGCCCCUUACCCCCACUGACACUUUCCUGGUUAAUGUGGAUGCCAAUUGUAGCUACCUUUUUUCUCCCUGUGGGCCUGUCCUGCAAAAAAAAAAAAAAAAGGAUGGGAAUAUGGAGGGCUGACAAGCUUUGAUGCUACAGGGUGAGACAGGAACUCAGCUCACUGCCUCCUUGCUGUUUUCCCUCCCCUAUCCAAUGACACCAGGGGAAGGGAGAAGUGAAGUGCCAUCUGGCCCUACCUCACUGAUGAUCACCGUGGGAGAACAGUUCUCACUGAUACCAGGGGAGGGUAGAACUGUACAUCACAAUGCUUGUUCAGUCUUGGUCCUGCCAGGACUGGAGGAUCACAGACCCAUCUGAUUCUGACAAGUGAGGGAUAGAAUAUCUGCUGCUCACUGGGUCCUACCGAAACCACCAGUCAGGGAAAUUGAAACAUCGCUUACUUCAAGGAGGCAGGAGGAUCGGUUGGAAGCUCAACUCUCCAACUGGCUCACUGAAACCUCAGGCGAGGUGAUGCAGUUUCACCAUUGCUGUUGGCUGAAAUUAGGCGACUGU